This 253-nucleotide ribosomal RNA is filed under the name uncultured bacterium. RNAcentral's name for it is "partial 16S ribosomal RNA". It matches the Rfam family "Bacterial small subunit ribosomal RNA", at positions 524 to 776 of the family's 1533-position model. The record is from RNAcentral.
UACGUAGGGGGCUAGCGUUGUCCGGAAUCAUUGGGCGUAAAGAGCGUGUAGGCGGCCCGGUAAGUCCGCUGUGAAAGUCGGGGGCUCAACCCUCGAAUGCCGGUGGAUACUGUCGGGCUAGAGUGCGGAAGAGGCGAGUGGAAUUCCUGGUGUAGCGGUGAAAUGCGCAGAUAUCAGGAGGAACACCAAUUGCGAAGGCAGCUCGCUGGGACGUAACUGACGCUGAGGCACGAAAGCGUGGGGAGCAAACAGG